This 832-nucleotide long non-coding RNA is filed under the name Bos grunniens (domestic yak). RNAcentral's name for it is "lncRNA (ENSBGRG00000008059.1)". Lineage: Eukaryota; Metazoa; Chordata; Mammalia; Artiodactyla; Bovidae. The record is from RNAcentral.
AUGAAAGUUCACAUGUCUAAUCUCUCUCCUUGCAGGAAUUUGGCCGACUCAGCCUCAAUAUGUAGCCCAGAGCUGUAUGUGGGGAGGUGUUCAGAGUUUUUGUUGAAUGAACAUAUGCAUCUAUUUUUUACAUCCUACUGCACCCCUGAGCAGAGAGCUUCCCCUCAAGCCCCUCAGCUCCGACUUCCCAGCCUGACAACUGUUCAGGGGAGCUCUUGCGAUGCUGCACAGGGGGCGACCAGAUUCUCAGGGCCCAAAACAGCUGCCAGGCAAGCCUCUCUCUGUUGGCUCUUCUCCGAGCUCCUGGACACUGGCAGGAUCCUUAUGAUCAUCAUCUCAGACAGAAGAACAAGUGAGUUUUUGUUUUUAUUGCCUAUUAUUGUUCAUGUCGCUUAGGGCUGAGAUUGAGUUUUUAAAUCACAGUAGAUGCCUUUGAAGAAGCUUAGGACCAAAAGACAGACUUUCCCCCAAGGCCUAUAACCAGCUAGUGGCAGAGUUUGUAUUCAUUCCUGUCUCUACCACACCACCCUUUAUUUCUGUCUCUCUAUAGUGUCUACAUACUAGUUGCUCAACAAAUUGUUAACUGGUUUAAUCUGAUGCAGUUAAGUGAAUCAUCAUAUGAGUUAAUCUUGUCACAGCAUUCGGCUCUGCUGCAAAGCUCCUGCCCAGGGAGUAACUCCACUCAGACACGAGCCCCCUCAUCCCUCUUCUGAAGGCCGGCUGGAGCUGUGAGGAAGCCCAGGCUGCCAUCCCUACAUCCUUGAGACCAAGGGGCGGUGCAGCAGAGGAGAACCAUCCCCCCUGACCGUCUGUCCAACCUCUCUGGGUUCUG